Long non-coding RNA from Homo sapiens (human), 1625 nucleotides. Lineage: Eukaryota; Metazoa; Chordata; Mammalia; Primates; Hominidae. The record is from Ensembl.
AGUCACCACAAAGGCCAGAGCUGGUCCUAGAGUCUGGCAAAAGGCUGAGCAUGAAACUUCCAAUGGUGCCAGGCUUCCAGCAGGAGGAAUAGAGGCUGUGGUAAAGGAAACCGUUGGCAAAUGAAAGAAACCAGAAACUGUCACUACCCAUAACAACGAAACAACAAAAAAAUUUACAGAAAAGGAAGGGGAGACAAAGGAAAUUGUUUAAAGUGGUUGAAGCCUGUACAGUCUGAUGUGAUCAUUAGGCGUGAGGGUGCCGCAGCAUGGUGGUGCCUAAGACACUGACUCCAAUUUUCCAGUGAGAACAGGAAGGCUUUAAGCACCAAAGCCAUGCUGUCCAGUAAUACUGCUGAGCAAGAAAGCUUUUCUUGAAGGAAGAGAAUAGCGUUUAAUUGAGACUAUUUUUGUCAGUCUCCUAACAUGCUCCUCAGACCACUAAUAUGCAAAAGAACCUAAGGAUCUGGUCACCAAGUUACGUCAAAAGAGUUUACCCCAUAGUCCUUUUUACUGCCUUUUGCAGAACAAACGUUUAAUAAUGUCGCUAUUGUUCAUUGGUUAUCAAGAAAUAACUCAUUGUAACUCAGAAGUGCUUAGCAAAGAAUCUAUCUCAUAUGUACUUUCUUUAUUUCAAGAACUUUAAGGAGGCAGGUUUUCUACGUGUGUUCACCAAAGCGCCAAGAUUUUUUUUAAUAUUUUGAGAAAAUAUUUUCAGUAAAUCUGUAUUCAUUGAAUGAAAUAUUAAGUGGAUCCAUAAAGAAGCAGAUGAUAUAAGUCCCAGGAUAACAUCAGGAGAAUCUGAACACAGUGUAGCUGAAGCAUUUCAUCACCCCCCAACAAGAAAAUUGCUAUUUUGCCAACUAUUCUACCACAUUGCAGUGUUUCUAAGAUCUACAUUUUUUUCACAUUUAUUUCUAAAAAUCAAAAUGUGAAUUGCAGUCAACUGGUGACAUCUUAGAUCUGAUGAGAUAUGGUGGUUCUCCUGGAAAAGCAAAAGUUAGUAAUUUUCAGCAUAUCAUUGGCAUCCAAUGUUUAACUCUGGGGGGGUCAAAAGACAUCUUCAAGCACUAGUGAAGAAGACAUAUUUAAUUUGAGGACAUUUUUAUUAUAAUUUAGUAGGUAAGUGAUGUUCCUUCAAGGCAUUCAAGGAACCCACUCUGGAAUAGACUAAAGAGACUCUGAGUCAGUUAGUGUUGCCCACGAGGGUCACAGCCGGUCAAUGGCAGACCUGGACUGAGGUUCCUGCCCAGUCUGGAGGGUCAACACAGGGUGUGUUGUCCUGCUACCUGUCAGAGCAGGCACAAAGCAAGACUCAGUGAGGCAGACCCCGAUUUGCUCUGAAGCAUCCUUCUAUCUGGGCAUUGGCAGAACUCCCAAAUGAGUGGGUAAAGGUACCAAAAAAGUUCAGCCUCAAAUGAGUGGGUCAGUAAGACAUGAGACAGUGAAACGUUGUUCAAUUGUGGGACAUGGGAUUGGCUUGGCAGAGUCACUCUGCUCCAUGCUCAGCCUGCAGCCUCCUCCCUGGUAUCAAGGCCUUCCUACUUCCAGGUUCAUCUUUUGAAAUACAUCAUUUAUUUUCAAAAUAUACUGAUGUUAAUAAAAAUAAUGCCAAAGAUAUACUAAAA